AUCGCUUCUCGGCCUUUUGGCUAAGAUCAAGUGUAGUAUCUGUUCUUAUCAGUUUAAUAUCUGAUACCUCCCCCUUUUAGACCGUGAGCCCACUGUUGGGCAGGGACUGCCUCUAUAUGUUGCCAAUUUGUACUUCCCAAGCGCUUAGUACAGUGCUCUGCACACACAGUAAGCGCUCAAAUACGAUUG
Small nuclear RNA from Tachyglossus aculeatus (Australian echidna), 189 nucleotides. RefSeq annotates it as U2 spliceosomal RNA. The transcript has a single exon. NCBI's taxonomy places the organism in Eukaryota, Metazoa, Chordata, Mammalia, Monotremata, Tachyglossidae. The record is from RefSeq and is a predicted model, not a curated record.